Molecule: ribosomal RNA, 440 nt
Filed under: uncultured bacterium
Lineage: Bacteria
Description: partial 16S ribosomal RNA
Rfam family: Bacterial small subunit ribosomal RNA
Source: RNAcentral
CCUACGGGAGGCAGCAGUGGGGAAUCUUUCACAAUGGGGGAAACCCUGAUGCAGCGACGCCGCGUGAGUGAGGAAGUAUUUCGGUAUGUAAAGCUCUAUCAGCAGGGAAGAAAAUGACGGUACCUGAUUAAGAAGCCUCGGCUAACUACGUGCCAGCAGCCGCGGUCAUACGUAGGGGGCAAGCGUUAUCCGGAUUUACUGGGUGUAAAGGGAGCGUAGACGGCUAGUAAAGUCAGAAGUGAAAGCCCAGGGCCAAACCUUGGGACUGUUUUUGAAACUGAGUAGCUAGAGUGCAGUAGAGGUAAGCGGAAUUCCUAGUGUAGCGGUGAAAUGCGUAGAUAUUAGGAGGAACACCAGUGGCGAAGGCGGCUUACUGGACUGUAACUGACGUUGAGGCUCGAAAGCGUAGGGAGCAAACAGGAUUAGAUACCCCUGUAGUC